AGCAAUAUACUAAACGGCUAGGCAGGUCCAAUUUCGAGAAAGAGGUUAGCUGCCGAAUUCAACUCGGCUGGG
Molecule: long non-coding RNA, 72 nt
Organism: Maniola jurtina (meadow brown)
Lineage: Eukaryota; Metazoa; Arthropoda; Insecta; Lepidoptera; Nymphalidae
Exons: 3
Source: RefSeq, a predicted model, not a curated record